Cucumis melo (muskmelon) is the source of this 3210-nucleotide long non-coding RNA. RefSeq lists it as uncharacterized. NCBI's taxonomy places the organism in Eukaryota, Viridiplantae, Streptophyta, Magnoliopsida, Cucurbitales, Cucurbitaceae. The record is from RefSeq and is a predicted model, not a curated record. The transcript has 3 exons.
GGAAAAUUUAUCGCCAUUAUCAGGUCCACCAACAAUGGCACCAAGAAGCAGAUUUGGAUUUGGCGAAGAAGAGUACAGAAACUGGAAACCAUCAUUGCAAGAAACUCGAUUAGGGUGUGCAUGAAGCGACGGUACAGAGGAACCUCUGUGAUGAAUAUGCUGAGGGUCUUGUGGUGAAAUCCUUGAAGUCCCACAUCGAAUGGAUCCCCCAUUGGAGCUUAGGUAUUUUGCGUAUGUCAGAAGUAGAAACGCUGCUGAUGUUACAUAUUGCAGGUUGCUCUCGCUUCCUUUGAAAAAUAGUCCUCCUGCAAUUUUGCAGUUUCUUUGAGCAUGGCUUGUUUUCAUUCAAAUUAGCUUGUCUGUGUACUAUCUUCUUUUUGAUUCUUUGUGUACAUAGAUUUAUAGAUUUAUGUAUUUUGGAUUUCAUCUCUAUACUUUUAAAAUGUUUAUUUUAAUCCUUGUACCAUUAUAAAGUGACCAUUGUGGUAGUCUUUUUAUUUUCAUUUUUAUAUCAUCUUUUGAGGGAUCAAAACUGAAACUGUAGGGAUUGAAAUGGACACGUUGAAAGUAUAAAGGUCAAAACAGAUAAAUUAAAUUAAAACUGAAAGUAUAGGAAUUAAAGUAGUAUUUCAAUACAUUUAUUUACUUAUUUAUCAACUUGGCACUUGAGAGAAAGUAUUGGGUGGAUAAAUGUUGGGUAGCAAUCAUAAAUUAAUAGUAAAGGACAAAAAUUGUCUUUUUUAUAGGUCCAUAUAAUGAAAUAGACAUUUUGAGAGUCAUGGGCAAUAAUGUCUUUUUCUUGUUUUUGUUCUUGUAAAGUUUUAAGAACUAAAGUCAUUUUUUUUUUAAAUUCAGGGACCAAUAUGGAAAAAUGUUUGACAUUUAGGGACGAAAAUAGGUUUAAGUGUAUGUAAACAAAUGAUAAGGAAAUAGUUUAUAUUAUUGCUAACCAGGAGUAUAUUGACCACUAGAAGUGGAAGUUCCUGGAAUGAGGGAGCAUAUGUAAUUAUCUGAGUGUGCUUUAUAGAUUUGGAACUCCUCCGAACUUUGCACUAAGAAAUCCUGUGUCAUUGGUCCACAUCAUGAUAAAAUCAUCAAGCUUUAGUUUAGGAAUUAGAUUCUUGUCAGAAUUUUUCUUUUUUAUCAAGAGGGAGCAAAGACAAACCUGGGAGAGAAGGAUCUUGGUUCCAGGGCGCUUGUCGUCCCAGCUAAAAGUGUAGUCAUCUUCUUCGGCUCCUAGUAUAUGGCCAUUGGCCUGUAUAUAGCUUAAAUGUAUGCUGUUUUUUGAGGCUUUGUAAAUCCAUGAGGCAGCCCAUAGAAGCUCAUCCUGAUAUAAGUCAAUACGAACUCAGAAAAAAGAAUACCUUGAAGAAAAAAAAAAAGAUUGAAAACAAGUAGAUGGAUGGUUAUGUUAUCUUCUUACUUACAUUGUAUCCCGAGUAAGAACAGUAAAAUGGACAGACCACUGAAUGGAGUGAAUCACUGUAAGAACCUCUAUGCUUGUCUGCUAAAUCGAAUACCUGCAUUGCAUUAAAUGGGAAAUGUUCUUUGUUUAGAGCAUAAUGACAUGCAAUGAAUAUGAGGAAUGAGAGUAUGAUUUACUUUUAAGGCUGCGUCGAGUAAUUUGUUAGAAUAAGAAGGGUCAGAUGCUUUGAAGACGAUUGAAGCUGCAGCCAACGCAGCUGCGGUCUCUGCUGCUACAUCAGAGCCUGGGUUUUGAGCAGUUAUCUUAUACACAGUACGUGGCGUGUCCAUAUCUUCUGGCCUUUCCCAACAUUUAUGAUCGAGGUUUGGAUCUCCCACCUUCACACAAGUUUACUACUUACGUUAAAAACAUUCUUAUCGUAGUGAUUAUUAUUAUCUUAACCAUCACAUUCUUUUUCCUUUCCUCUCUCUCUCUCUCACAAAUUUGUUUACGUUCACUCUACUCACUUGAACAUAUAAGACAUCAGGUGCAGCAGUAGCAGCCUUCAAUAGAUAAUCCGACCCCCAACGAACUGCUGCUCUUGCAUUCUCAAUCUCAUUCCCCAUCGAGUCACCAAACUCAAUGACACUCCAAGCCAGCAAUGUAGUAGUAAAGGCCAUUGGCAAGCCAAACUUGACAUUAUCCCCAGCAUCAUAGUAGCCACCAACAAGGUCAACCUGCAAAAGUUCAUAUUCACAUCCCAUUUAUCAACUAGAUUAGCUCAUAGAAGUAACAAACAUCUCAAUAAGAAAACUGGGAGUAAGCACACAUGAUAGGAGGAGCCAUCUGAUAAGGCUGAAUCAGCCCUCCAUGUGAGACGUUGGUUAGAGGGCAGCUUCCCUGAUCGCUGUCCCUCAAAGAAAAGAAUAGAAUACUGAAGAGCAGUAGAAUAAUGUUCAGAAGUGAAAGCAGAGGAAGAAGAUAAGGUAAAGAGAGACAAAAUGAAGUAGAGAGCCAAAGUGAUUGAGAAAGACAUUGUUAUAUCGUUAUAAGUUAUAAUAUAACACACUCACUUGGAAUGGUGAAUGAAGUAGAGGGGAAGUGGGGGGUGUUAUUUAUAGAGAAAGAAGUUUAGUUUAAUGUUGGUUCAGAGAGAAAUUAUUCACGGGAUCAACUGCGCCAAAUUGGAAGUUAAUAGGUGAGGUAAAGACAAACCAACUUUACCGUUGGGAUUGGAUUGGAUAAAGGAAUGAGAAAGUCAGAGAGAAAGAAGAAAAAACUAAAGUAUUGAAUUGAAUUUAUGAGGGUAUUGUAUAGUAUUGAAAUUUUAGAAAAAGUGAGGCGUAAUUUACGUGGAAAAAAAGGAAGGUGGAGAAACUUUGGAUGCCAAAAUAAGAGGCGGAAAUACAGAAUUGAAUAUAGGAUCUCAGGAAUUUGUCUGUAUAUAUAAAAUGAGAAGUCACGGGUGUUCUUAUUUUUUCAGGAUGACUUUGCUUUGCUCAGCUCAGCUCACAUGAGUUUCUCUUUUGCUACCAACAAUACAAAAGGUGACCUGCCAAGCUUACGUGCAACUGUGGUCACAAUCUCACAGACAAAAACACAAGACUGUUAUUUGCUUCAUAUUAUGUACUUGGAUCCUCCAAUAAGGUUGUGCUUUGUGUUUUUGUUAAAGAAAAACCAACCGUUUGUCUUUUUGUUGUUGGCAUUGUUGAAGACACAAUGCCAAAUUGUUGGGUUUAUAAGAUCAGUUGUUUCAAGUUGGUUCAAAUAUUUAGGGAAUAUCAGCACUUGGUUGUUGGCUCAAA